RNAcentral lists this ribosomal RNA (424 nucleotides) under uncultured Planctomyces sp. RNAcentral describes it as "bacterial SSU rRNA". It matches the Rfam family "Bacterial small subunit ribosomal RNA", at positions 355 to 774 of the family's 1533-position model. Lineage: Bacteria; Pseudomonadati; Planctomycetota; Planctomycetia; Planctomycetales; Planctomycetaceae. The record is from RNAcentral.
UCGAGAAUCUUCGGCAAUGGGCGCAAGCCUGACCGAGCGACGCCGCGUGUGGGAUGAAGGCCCUUGGGUUGUAAACCACUGUCAGAGGGGAUGAAAUGCGGGUGGGAACUCCCAUCCGUUUGACAUAGCCUCAGAGGAAGCACGGGCUAAGUUCGUGCCAGCAGCCGCGGUAAUACGAACUGUGCAAACGUUAUUCGGAAUCACUGGGCUUAAAGGGUGCGUAGGCGGCCGUUUAGGUAGGGUGUGAAAGCCUGCAGCUUAACUGCAGAACUGCGCUCUAAACCGGACGGCUGGAGUGAGAUAGGGGUGUGUGGAACUUCCGGUGGAGCGGUGAAAUGUGUUGAUAUCGGAAGGAACGCCGGUGGCGAAAGCGACACACUGGGUCUCAACUGACGCUGAGGCACGAAAGCCAGGGGAGCGAACG